AAAAAUUAUCAAAAGAAUAAAAAAUAACCAAGUAUUUGAUAUUGUUAUGUACCUGAUGAGGUACAAACAAUGGUAAAAAAAUGUUAAAAACUUGGCAUCUUUUAGCUUUAUAUUUGAAGCAUUUAGCCAAUAUGAUUACUAUAUGAAUUGGUAUGUAGCAUUUUGCUUUCUAAUUAAAUCAUAAUUUGAAGCUGUUUGCAUAAAGAAGUUAAAAUGUGCCUUAUAUCAAAGAGUGCUCUUUUGAUUGUGAUUUCCAUUUUUGGAAAACCACGUUAGAUUCAUUAUAGUCUAUACAGAUUAUCAAAAUCAUUUUACAUUAUUGCAAGAUGAAAAUAUUGAAAUGGUCAUUGAUUAGAGCAAUUAGUGCUCAGAAAGAUAAUCAGAUUACUGUAAAUUCAGAAAUUAUUGUGUUCAAUUCUAACAUGACGUUCUUCAAAAGCUUUUAAGUACACACCCAUGGUAAAAUAUGAAUAUAUUUCCUUGGCUGUUCCAAUCGUACUCCCACGUCAUAUGCUUUUUUAUGAAUGAGCUUCCUGAUGUCAUUGAAUAAUGACAUAAGAAUAUAAGCAUGUUACAGGAAAAUACAAGCUUGUGAAACCGAAAAUCAUCACAAGGAAACGUAAACAAAUGAUGCUAAAAUGUGAUAUAAGCCAUUUUUUCAAAACAUAUAAGACAUAAGUAAAUUAUCAUUUACAUUCAUCAAAAACUAUCUUAAUAGGUUAUUAUAAAUAGUGAACGGCAAAUAUUUCUAUCCCUCAGUGUAAAAUAUUUGUCAUAAAGGGCCAACCUAUGGUAAAAUUACUAUAUAUUCAAGCCCCCAUGAAUUAUUUCUUAAUUAUAUUACAGAAUGGACAAAAGUGCAAGGUAUAAUAUAGGACUACUUGAAAACCUGCAUAGAGAUAUAUGUAUCAGAUAUCAGAAUGAGACUAACCAAGUUGCAUAAUAUCUGCAUAAAUAUAAACCUUGCAAUAAUUUCUGAAUUGACGGUAAAUGAUUUAAUAGGAUUUAAAAUUGAAAAGCAUAGAAGAUCUUUUUGGAAUAACAGUAAAGUAGAUGGAGUACAGAUGCAUUGUGGGAUAUACUUUAUUAAAAAAAGCAAAUAUAUGCAUUUCUAAAGUUGUUAGGAAUGGUCAUGUCUGUCUGUUAUCUGUUCAGUUUGUUCACAUUUUAGAUGCAGGUAGUCAUUACCUGUUUUUUUUUUUUCAUUGUCCAUUUUAUAAUACAUUCAGUCAACAUAGGAAACAUACCUUUAUAGGGAACUUUAUAUUGAAAACAGACAGAUUGAUGCAUUGUCAUAGGUGGUUUAUUGUGUGAAGUCAGUUCUAGAUGAAAUUUCAAGGAACACCUGUUCUGAAAUACUGAAAUAAAUUUAGCUUUUUAUUGCAUCAACAAACACCAUAAACUGUGAUCAAGCAUUAUCUUUCAAAAAAGCUUGUCUUAACUCAAAAUCAUGUCUUUUAGAAACUUUUUUAUAAAAAUGAAAUGAAGUUUUCAAGAACAACA
RNAcentral lists this long non-coding RNA (1503 nucleotides) under Mytilus galloprovincialis (Mediterranean mussel). Lineage: Eukaryota; Metazoa; Mollusca; Bivalvia; Mytilida; Mytilidae. The record is from RNAcentral.